CAAGUCGUGGGGCAGCAUGAGUAGCAAUACUUGAUGGCGACCGGCAAACGGGUGCGGAACACGUACACGACCUUCCGUCAAGCGGGGAAUAGCCCAGAGAAAUUUGGAUUAAUACCCCAUAAUAUAUUUGAUAAGGCAUCUUAUUAAUAUUAAAGCUUCGGCACUUGAUGAUGGGUGUGCGGCUGAUUAGAUAGUUGGUGAGGUAACGGCUCACCAAGUCUACGAUCAGUAGCUGAUGUGAGAGCAUGAUCAGCCACACGGGCACUGAGACACGGGCCCGACUCCUACGGGAGGCAGCAGUAAGGAAUAUUGGACAAUGGACGCAAGUCUGAUCCAGCCAUGCCGCGUGAAGGAUUAAGGUCCUCUGGAUUGUAAACUUCUUUUAUAGGGGACGAAAAAAGGGCAUUCUUGCUCACUUGACGGUACCCUAUGAAUAAGCACCGGCUAACUCCGUGCCAGCAGCCGCGGUAAUACGGAGGGUGCAAGCGUUAUCCGGAUUCACUGGGUUUAAAGGGUGCGUAGGCGGGUAGGUAAGUCAGUGGUGAAAUCUCAGAGCUUAACUCUGAAACUGCCAUUGAUACUAUCUAUCUUGAAUAUUGUGGAGGUUUGCGGAAUAUGUCAUGUAGCGGUGAAAUGCUUAGAUAUGACAUAGAACACCUAUUGCGAAGGCAGCAGGCUACACAUAUAUUGACGCUGAGGCACGAAAGCGUGGGGAUCAAACAGG
This 724-nucleotide ribosomal RNA is filed under the name uncultured Saprospiraceae bacterium. RNAcentral's name for it is "bacterial SSU rRNA". It matches the Rfam family "Bacterial small subunit ribosomal RNA", at positions 58 to 776 of the family's 1533-position model. Lineage: Bacteria; Pseudomonadati; Bacteroidota; Saprospiria; Saprospirales; Saprospiraceae. The record is from RNAcentral.